This 895-nucleotide long non-coding RNA is filed under the name Homo sapiens (human). RNAcentral's name for it is "non-protein coding lnc-SPRY1-11:8". The record is from RNAcentral. Lineage: Eukaryota; Metazoa; Chordata; Mammalia; Primates; Hominidae.
AAACGUUUACAGAGCAUCCGCGAGAACUUCCUUCUAAGCUAAAUAUGUCAUCUAGCACCUGAAAAAAUUUAAGUCUGGUUCUUUCUGGAUAAAAGAAAGCGCACAGGAUUUAACCAGAUCUGCUGUUAGAGGAGAAUUCUUCUGUCCUAGCUGUGUCUCUGUGAUCUGUGGAUGAGGGUGGGAAAGCACCACUCAGUCAAUUGGGGUGUACAAAAUGGAGUUUGAGAAGGUCUCACAUCCAGGUUGUUUUGAAGCAAAGUCCAAGCAUUGUAUCACUUCAUCUGCAAAUAUUUCAAUAAGUACCCAAAAGUGGUUGGACUGAGUCCCAUGAAGCCAGAUCACUUCUGACUGCAAGGAGCUUGGAAAAGCAAGUAUCUGGAUCUUUUACCAGCUAAAUUUGGAGGUAGGUAUCUACCAGACUAGGGAAGAAGAGAAGAAUGGCUGUUGAGUGCAGAUCAAUUUGUUUCCACUGAAGUCUAUGGUUGAAAUAUUUAUGCAUAGCUGAGAUAUAGAAUUGUGCUGUAAAAUGUGGUUGAUUUGGUGGUAACUAUGUGGAUAGGUGUGGUAGGUUGAAGUGUCCCCUGCAAAUUUAUGUCUACCUGGGAUCUCAGAAUGUGACUUUAAUUGGAAAUAGAGUCUUGCUGAUGCAAUUAGUUAAGAAUUUUGAGAUGAGUCGUACUGGGCUUUCGGUGGGUGCUAAAUCCAAUGGCUGGCAUCCUUAUAAGAAGAGAGGACACACACACACACAGAACAGGCCAUUCAAAGAUGGAGGCAGAGCUUGGGGUUAUGCUGACAGGAGCCAAGGAAUGCUGGGGGGACAUUAGAAGCUGAAAGAAGCAGGGAAGGAUUUUCCUCUAUAGGUUCAGAGGAUGCAUGGCCCUGCUGACACCUUGAU